GGUCACGAGACCCAGCACCAAGCCCCGGCUGGCUGGGCGGCAACCCUCCUCUCGCGGUGGGGUGCCCCGGGAGACGACCUGGUCGGCGCCACCCGGCGUCGGCAAGCGCGGGUC
RNAcentral lists this non-coding RNA (114 nucleotides) under Nostocoides japonicum. RNAcentral describes it as "Tetrasphaera japonica SAM-IV sequence". It matches the Rfam family "SAM (S-adenosyl methionine) riboswitch aptamer". From Rfam's summary of the family: SAM-IV is a mRNA element that regulates gene expression via direct sensing of S-adenosylmethionine (SAM or AdoMet). Lineage: Bacteria; Bacillati; Actinomycetota; Actinomycetes; Micrococcales; Intrasporangiaceae. The record is from RNAcentral. RNAcentral also lists the same sequence under 1 other name.